UCUCUUAGUCUCCCUACUCUGUCGGGCCUAAAAUAAAAUGGUUAAUAUGUCUCAUCUUGUGCCUCCUCUUUUUCUUUAUAUCUAAUUUAAACCAAAACCUUACAUUUGGGGCCCUCGUGAUUUAGGCUCUCUCCAUAAGCUCUCUCGAAGCUUGCUGGCAGGAUAGGCUUUCUCUGUAACCUCUCCUGCCAGGGGCACGGGAAAUUUCGGGGAUCCUAAAAUCUGAACUCAUAACUGGCUUUCCAUCUCGGUUUUUCCUGGCACUUCCUCCUGCCUGCAGCGGACUGAGAUGCCGGGACUCUGUCCACUUCAACUCGCCACUUUUCAAACUAAGGAUCUGGAACUCACUCAUCUGCCUGUUGGCUGCAAUCGGAAAAGGAGAAGAAACUGACACAGACAUUCACAAUGAAGAUGACCAUGCCCUGAUGCACAAAGACCUCACAUGUGAAGAGCCUCACGGAAGACAACGAUUUGGAAAUCCGUACAUCUCAUUCCAUAGAGUCCUUCUGAAGUGGAACAUACAUGUCACACUUCUACCACAUUUGCUAGCUGCAGAGGGGUUCUGUACCAACAUGGAUCAGCACCACGUCACAGCGGUGCUGAGUAAUUCAUCACAUGAUCUUCUCUGGAGCCAAAUGAUUCGG
This is a non-coding RNA of Cricetulus griseus (Chinese hamster), 644 nucleotides long. NCBI's taxonomy places the organism in Eukaryota, Metazoa, Chordata, Mammalia, Rodentia, Cricetidae. The record is from RefSeq and is a predicted model, not a curated record.